UUUCCGCAGGUGAACCUGCGGAAGGAUCAUUAAUGAGUUGUCAUGGGGUUCGAUGCUGGCAGCCAGUUUUUGGAUGCAUGUGCUUGCCCUAACAAUCAUCUUCUUCCAAACACCUGCGCACAUUUUUGAGGGAGUCUUGAGUUGGUUGCCGCUCUUGGGUGAUUUUCUCACAUUCCCUUAAAUCAUUAUACGCUAUUAACAAUGUUGAACGUGCUCUGUGCCGCAAGGCCAUUAAUAUAAUACAACUUUUAACAACGGAUCUCUUGGCUCUC
Molecule: unclassified non-coding RNA, 272 nt
Filed under: plant metagenome
Description: partial contains small subunit ribosomal RNA, internal transcribed spacer 1, and 5.8S ribosomal RNA
Source: RNAcentral